AUUGAACGCUGGCGGCAGGCCUAACACAUGCAAGUCGAACGGUAACAGGAAGCAGCUUGCUGCUUUGCUGACGAGUGGCGGACGGGUGAGUAAUGUCUGGGAAACUGCCCGAUGGAGGGGGAUAACUACUGGAAACGGUAGCUAAUACCGCAUAACGUCGCAAGACCAAAGAGGGGGACCUUAGGGCCUCUUGCCAUCGGAUGUGCCCAGAUGGGAUUAGCUAGUAGGUGGGGUAACGGCUCACCUAGGCGACGAUCCCUAGCUGGUCUGAGAGGAUGACCAGCCACACUGGAACUGAGACACGGUCCAGACUCCUACGGGAGGCAGCAGUGGGGAAUAUGGCACAAUGGGCGCAAGCCUGAUGCAGCCAUGCCGCGGGUAUGAAGAAGGCCUUCGGGUUGUAAAGUACUUUCAGCGGGGAGGAAGGGAGUAAAGUUAAUACCUUUGCUCAUUGACGUUACCCGCAGAAGAAGCACCGGCUAACUCCGU
This 489-nucleotide ribosomal RNA is filed under the name uncultured bacterium. RNAcentral's name for it is "partial 16S ribosomal RNA". It matches the Rfam family "Bacterial small subunit ribosomal RNA", at positions 30 to 506 of the family's 1533-position model. The record is from RNAcentral.